Molecule: ribosomal RNA, 1261 nt
Filed under: Enterococcus faecalis
Lineage: Bacteria; Bacillati; Bacillota; Bacilli; Lactobacillales; Enterococcaceae
Description: partial 23S ribosomal RNA
Rfam family: Bacterial large subunit ribosomal RNA
Source: RNAcentral
GUUGAUAAGGUUAAGUGAAUAAGGGCGCACGGUGGAUGCCUUGGCACUAGGAGCCGAUGAAGGACGGGACUAACACCGAUAUGCUUUGGGGAGCUGUAAGUAAGCUAUGAUCCAGAGAUUUCCGAAUGGGGGAACCCAAUAUCUUUUAUAGGAUAUUACUUUUCAGUGAAUACAUAGCUGAUUAGAGGUAGACGCAGAGAACUGAAACAUCUUAGUACCUGCAGGAAGAGAAAGAAAAUUCGAUUCCCUGAGUAGCGGCGAGCGAAACGGGAAGAGCCCAAACCAACAAGCUUGCUUGUUGGGGUUGUAGGACUCCAAUAUGGUAGUCUGUUAGUAUAGUUGAAGGAUUUGGAAAAUUCCGCUAAAGAGGGUGAAAGCCCCGUAGACGAAAUGCUAACAACACCUAGGAGGAUCCUGAGUACGGCGGAACACGAGAAAUUCCGUCGGAAUCCGCGGGGACCAUCCCGCAAGGCUAAAUACUCCCUAGUGACCGAUAGUGAACCAGUACCGUGAGGGAAAGGUGAAAAGCACCCCGGAAGGGGAGUGAAAUAGAUCCUGAAACCGUGUGCCUACAACAAGUCAAAGCUCGUUAAUGAGUGAUGGCGUGCCUUUUGUAGAAUGAACCGGCGAGUUACGAUUGCAUGCGAGGUUAAGUCGAAGAGACGGAGCCGCAGCGAAAGCGAGUCUGAAUAGGGCGAAUGAGUAUGUAGUCGUAGACCCGAAACCAUGUGAUCUACCCAUGUCCAGGUUGAAGGUGCGGUAAAACGCACUGGAGGACCGAACCCACGUACGUUGAAAAGUGCGGGGAUGAGGUGUGGGUAGCGGAGAAAUUCCAAACGAACUUGGAGAUAGCUGGUUCUCUCCGAAAUAGCUUUAGGGCUAGCCUCGGAAUUGAGAAUGAUGGAGGUAGAGCACUGUUUGGACUAGGGGCCCAUCUCGGGUUACCGAAUUCAGAUAAACUCCGAAUGCCAUUCAUUUAUAUCCGGGAGUCAGACUGCGAGUGAUAAGAUCCGUAGUCGAAAGGGAAACAGCCCAGACCACCAGCUAAGGUCCCAAAAUAUAUGUUAAGUGGAAAAGGAUGUGGGGUUGCACAGACAACUAGGAUGUUGGCUUAGAAGCAGCCACCAUUUAAAGAGUGCGUAAUAGCUCACUAGUCGAGUGACCCUGCGCCGAAAAUGUACCGGGGCUAAACAUAUUACCGAAGCUGUGGACUACACCAUUAGGUGUAGUGGUAGGAGAGCGUUCUAAGGGCGUUGAAGGU